CAGUGGAUUGCUGAAAGGGAAAAAACCCAGUUGGGUUCAAUGGCCAUUGAUAAUUGGAGAGCAUUAUUGGAAUGCAACAGCUUAUCUGGCUUCGUCUGGUCCUAAGUUACACCAAACAAAACACAUCAUAAGUUACUUUAAAAAAUCUAAACAAAUUUAGAUUAGGAUAUUUGGACUUAAUAUUUCAACUUAAAUUUCAGCUGAAGUUUUUGUGUGACCUAGGUGCUUGUGACAAUAGAAAUCAAGGUUAACUUCCCCUGUCAAAUCGUGGUAAAUCUUCAAGAUAUUGAUGCCUUCCCCAGAUCCAAUUCUUUGCUGCUAUCUCUUCUCUUUCCAGAUAACAGCAAAAUAAUGCUGCCACUCAAGAGGUUGUGAUGACCACCACUUAGUUCUAAUUUAGGACAAUGUAACAUUGAUAGAUUUGAGGGCGAGAUUCUCACGACCAUUAUAGUUGUUUGGAAACUGACAGCACUGCUGGACACUCACCCACUGGGAUAAUCAGGAGGAUGAGUAGGGCUCUGAUGCACUAUACAUGUACUUCCUCUGCGACGUCUAAUUGUUUCCUAGCUUAAAUGGCUUCACACCCACUUCCGCUGCGACACACCUGUAGUCACUCAGCACUCACCACGGGAUUGUGCCCAGAUACCCACAAAUUAACUUAUUUUUGUUUAUUAUCUACUGAUAACCUACUAGCUUUAAACUCAGUGUUUAAUAAUUCUUAAAUUUAGGUUUUUCUUGCGAGUCGCUAACGAAGUGUUGCGAGUUCACGAGAGGAAUGAAAUAGCUGUUGCAAGUCACUUUCUCGUCUUAUAAAGGACCCACUAUAGAGACUUUGGAAUCUGGGGCUUAACAUCUGGAGUAAAAAUCAGAUUGAAUGAAAAAUCUGUUUAAUUGAUCCAUUCAUAAAAUUGGCCUAGUAAGCCGAAGUCCUGAUGGA
Molecule: long non-coding RNA, 937 nt
Filed under: Daphnia pulex (common water flea)
Lineage: Eukaryota; Metazoa; Arthropoda; Branchiopoda; Diplostraca; Daphniidae
Description: uncharacterized LOC124209570, transcript variant X1
Source: RNAcentral